This 658-nucleotide ribosomal RNA is filed under the name Bacillus sp. (in: firmicutes). Its description in RNAcentral is "bacterial SSU rRNA". It matches the Rfam family "Bacterial small subunit ribosomal RNA", at positions 50 to 695 of the family's 1533-position model. Lineage: Bacteria; Bacillati; Bacillota; Bacilli; Caryophanales; Bacillaceae. The record is from RNAcentral.
CUUACUGCAGUCGAGCGAUCGAUGGGAGCUUGCUCCCUGAGAUUAGCGGCGGACGGGUGAGUAACACGUGGGCAACCUGCCUAUAAGACUGGGAUAACUUCGGGAAACCGGAGCUAAUACCGGAUACGUUCUUUUCUCGCAUGAGAGAAGAUGGAAAGACGGUUUACGCUGUCACUUAUAGAUGGGCCCGCGGCGCAUUAGCUAGUUGGUGAGGUAAUGGCUCACCAAGGCGACGAUGCGUAGCCGACCUGAGAGGGUGAUCGGCCACACUGGGACUGAGACACGGCCCAGACUCCUACGGGAGGCAGCAGUAGGGAAUCUUCCGCAAUGGACGAAAGUCUGACGGAGCAACGCCGCGUGAACGAAGAAGGCCUUCGGGUCGUAAAGUUCUGUUGUUAGGGAAGAACAAGUACCAGAGUAACUGCUGGUACCUUGACGGUACCUAACCAGAAAGCCACGGCUAACUACGUGCCAGCAGCCGCGGUAAUACGUAGGUGGCAAGCGUUGUCCGGAAUUAUUGGGCGUAAAGCGCGCGCAGGUGGUUCCUUAAGUCUGAUGUGAAGCCCACGGCUCAACCGUGGAGGGUCAUUGGAAACUGGGGAACUUGAGUGCAGAAGAGGAAAGUGGAAUUCCAAGUGUAGCGGUGAAAUGCGUAGAG